AUUUAAAUAUUAAAUAAAAAAAGAAAUUAAUCGUUAAUACUAUAUAGUUUAGAGAAGCUUGCAUAGGUCCAGUUUCUUCAUCAUCUUCACCUCUCAAAGAACCAAAAAAGCAUCAGAAGCAAUAAUCAGAAUUGACACCCUUUGAUCUUGUUGAUUACUAUGAGAAGAUGAUAGACCUCAAGUACAUUUGGGUUCUUGUUUCAAUCAACAGAUACGUUCAUGAAACCUUGUCAAAUGAGAGAACAAGGAAUGCUCUAAAGCUGAAAUGCACCUCAAAACUAAGGAUUCAAAAGCAAGAGUUCUUUGAAUUCUCUGAGCAAUCAGUGCUAUCCAAUUUGUACUGGGGAAUUGACAGCAUUGAAGCUGCAAUUCAAGCUCAGAAGCCAGAGGAAAAGUCCUUCAGGCUCAUGAACUCAGAACAAAUGCUUCAGGUACCAGCAAUGCUUGAUGAGGAAGAAGUAACCGCCACGGUUUCAAACCGUUACUUGGUGUGCUGCUCCUAUUUUUACCUCUCAGUUGUUAGGAACCUGCAGGGUGAUGAGUGGCAAUCUGCACUGCAUUUUCUUCAAGCUGUGUUGGUGUCACCAAGGAUUGUUUGCAAUGAAUUUGCAACUGAACUUUCUCAGAGCCUUUUCCCUCAAGAAACCAUCAUGUUGCUGAGAAGGAAGAAGCAGAAUGUGAAGAACAACAGUGGAAGCAUGAGGUUGGGGUGUGUGAGUUCUACUUCUGAGGAUGAAGUGAAUGAAGCAAUUAGGGAUAUUGCAAGAAGUUAUAAGGAAGGUUUGGUGUAUUAUCAGGUUAUGCUUUAUGGAGAGAAUCCAUGGUGGAGAAGUUAUUGCAGCACCAAACACCAAUCACCACAAUAUGUGGAUGCACCAAAUACCAGCUGUGUUUCUCCUAAUUCAUUUCAACAUGAACCAAGAUUGAAAACCUGCAAUAUGUAUGAUAAAGUUCAUCCACUUGGUCCCCAAGAUGUGAUGCAUAAUAUGGAAGACAGAAAAUUUCACAUAAGAGCCAAAAUAACAAAAGCAAAUGAUCUACAGAGAGAAACUUAUGACAGGAAGCUACAUCAAUCCUAUGCCUUGGAUCAUGCUGUGAAAUAUUCCGGGCAAGAACAGCUGAAUGAAAGAAGUGUGGUUAAUUUUGAUUCGACCAUAUUCAACAGAGCCAGAGAAGAUUCUACUUUAUCCAUCUCAAAUUUCCAUGUAGAUGAUGGAAUAAUUGAGGAAGCAUUGCAGCCACUAAAAUUCCAUCUCUUUGACAAUGUAACAUCUAAAUCUCCUUCCAAACAUUGGCUCAGCCAGAAAGAUCAUGAAGAAAGUUCUAAAACAAAAUCACGAAGAUAUUCCCUACAGGAUCUUUCAGGAGUGAUUGAAAGAAUCUCAGAACUGCAUUAUUCAGAAGCAUUAGGAAAGUGUGGACAAGAAUAUACGGUUGACAUUGCAUCUAUCUACGAGUAUUUGACCGAUUCAUCAGGCACUAGUUAUGCUUCCUUGAGGGAUGCCAUCUUGGAUGAACUGCUAGUAGCUAUCUCAACAUCCAAAGAGGAAAGAGAAAUUAGAGCUUCUGUGUCUAUUCUCACUACAAUAAUUUCAAGAAACAAAUCAGUCAUAGAAGACAUCAAGAAGAAAGGUUUAAAGUUGUGUGAUCUUGCUAGUGCUCUAAAACAAAAUGUUCAUGAGGCUGCAAUUCUCAUCUAUUUGAUAAAUCCAUCACCUAUAGACAUAAAAACAUUGGAACUUCUACCAAUACUUGUUGAGAUUGUAUGCACCUCACAUAGUUACAAGAAUAAGCCAGAGCCCCUUCUUCUGACGCCUCAUGCAGCAUCAUUGAUGAUCAUUGAAGAACUAGUGACUUCGUUCGACUAUGCAACAAAUAACAUGCAUUUGGCUGCGAUUAGUUCCCCUCAUGUUCUCAGUGGACUUCUAGAAGUUGCUAGGAAUGAUAAUCUAGAAGAGUUUUUCUCUUUAACCACCAUUCUUAUAAAAUGCAUGCAGUUUGAUGCACAAUGUAGACAGUAUGUAUCACAAUACACUCCUCUUGCUCCUUUUAUCCAUCUUCUGCAGACGGAAAAUACCCGCGCCAAAUGUAUGGCACUUGAAUUUUUCCAUGAAAUCCUUUGCAUACCGCGAUCAUCAGCCAUUAAUCUGUUGCAGCGUAUACAGCAAGAAGGAGGCAUCAAUGUUAUGCAGAUACUAAGGAUUUGUACUCAUCAAUUACAACCUGAUCACCAGCUUUUUGCAGUAAACAUACUACUUCAGUUAGAAACAUUGAACCCAUGUGAUAAAAGCUUGUUCAGAGUAGAAGCAGUGAAGGUCCUUCUAAGGGCAUUGGUAUCUCAGGAAAGCUCAGCGCAGAUAUUAUCUGCAUCCAUUUUAUCAAAUCUUGCAGGAACAUAUGCGUGGACAGGAGAACCAUAUACAGCUGCAUGGUUGCUGAGGAAGACAGGAUUGAACUCUCCCUAUCACCACAAUAUGAUAAGAAACUUCAACUGGUUGGAUCAGAGUCUACAGGAUACUGGCACAGACUUAUGGUGCAGUAAAAUUGCAAAAUCUAUGUUAAGUGUUGGAGAUUCCAUCUUCCAUGCUUUAGAGAGUGGAUUAAGAAGCAAGAUGAAAAUGGUCUCUAGAGAUUGUCUUGUAGCAAUUUCAUGGCUCGGAUGUCAAAUAUCUAAAAGCUCGGAUAGCCUCAGAUAUUCGGCAUCCGAGAUCAUACUGAGUGGAAUUGAGCAAUUCCUGCAUCCUGGGAUGGAGCUAGAAGAAAGACUUCUAGCAUGUCUAUGCAUUUAUAAUUAUGCCACUGGUAAAGGAAAGCAGAAACUGAUUCAUUUCUCUGAAGGAGUAAAGGAAUCGUUACGACGUCUUUCAAAUGUAACUUGGAUGGCUGAGGAGUUACACAAAGUAGCUGAUUUCCUGUUGCCAAACAUAUCACGUAUUUCUUGUGUUCACACGCAAAUCCUUGAGACAAGUCGAAACUUCAACAUAGCAGUUUUCUCCCUCAUAUACUACAAGGGACUCCUAUUCAGUGGAUAUUCAGAUGGUUCAAUCAAGGUGUGGGAUAUUAGAGGGCACUCAGCUAGUCUUGUAUGGGACAUUAAGGAGCACAAGAAGUCCGUGACAUGCUUUUCGCUAUCUGAACCAUCGGAUAGCCUCUUAAGUGGAUCCACCGAUGGAACCAUAAGGGUGUGGAGAAUGGUCCAGAGAAAGUUGGAAUGUGUUGAAGUAAUAGUCUUCAAGGAACCAAUCCAUCAGUUACAUGCAUCGGGUGAAACAAUUUUCGCGAUUACUGAAAGCCAAGGAAUAAAGAUAGCUAAUGAUUCAAGGGCAAUCAGAAAUAUUUUCAAAGGUAAGCAUGUAAAAUGCAUGACACUAACUAGAGGAAAGUUAUACAUUGGCUGCACAGAUUCAAGCAUACAGGAGUAUUCCACAACAUACAACAGGGAACAAGAAAUCAAACCACCAACAAGGAGUUGGAUCAAGCAAAGUAAGCCAAUACAUUCAAUUGUAGCAUAUAGAGAUUGGCUCUAUAGUGCAAGUAAGCAUGUUGAAGGCACAACAUUCAAGAUGAAUUCUUUAGGAAUGGAAGAAAAAAAUUGGGAAACCCAAGAUUUCAAUCCAUUCUGACAAAGGAGAUAGUGUGAUGGCUAUGGAAGUGGUAGAAGACUUCAUAUACCUAAUCUCCAGCUCAUCUGCAAAUAGCAUUCAGAUCUGGUUGAGAGGGACACCGAAAAAACUCGGGAGAAUAUCGGCCGGAAGCAAGAUUACAAGCCUUCUUGCCGCGAAUGACAUUAUUCUUUGUGGUACUGAGAUGGGACAAAUCAAGGGAUGGAUCCCUUUGUAGGAAGAGUUUCAACACACACUUCCCUUUCAAGUUAAUUUGGUUUCAUGAGGGCGUAGUCAACUUCCAAAAUCUAAUGCCACAAGAUUGUAAUAGCUUCAGUUGCCAAAAGCUAAGAGUACAUAAUUUACAUAUCAGGGAUCACUGUAUAGUAAAUAUUAUUAUUGUACAGAAAAAAAAGACAUUGUAACAAAUGUUAUUAUACUAAGCUAGGCUGAUAUCCCUUUCAGCUAUGAUUUUGCAAAUUUAUAUGAAGUGUUAUCUUAAUUGUGAAAUGGAACCUCAUUGUAAUCAGGUGAAAUAAAUCAAACGCAAAGCAGCAACUACAAAAUGUACAUUUUUCCCCCUUUCA
Non-coding RNA from Arachis ipaensis, 4189 nucleotides. Lineage: Eukaryota; Viridiplantae; Streptophyta; Magnoliopsida; Fabales; Fabaceae. The record is from RefSeq and is a predicted model, not a curated record.